UAGAAAUUAAUACUUUUUAUUUAGCAAGGAUCCCUUAAAUUUAUCAAAAGUGAUGAUAAAGAUAUGUAUAAUGUUAGAAAAGAUUUCUGUUUCAGAUAAAUGCUGUUCUUCUGAACUUUCUAUUUAAAAAAAAACCUGAAAAAAUUAUACUCGGCUGUUUUCAACAUCAUAAUAAUAAUAAUAAAUGUUUUUUGAGCAGAAAAUCAGAAUAUCAGAAUGUUUUCUUAAGGCUCAUAUGACUGGAGUUAUGAUGCUAAAAAUAGCUUUGAAAUCACAAUUAAUUUUUAAUUACAUUUUAAAAAUAUAUUCAAAUAGAAAAGUUAUUUUAUUUAAAAAAUUUACUGUUUUGCUGUAUUUUGGAUCAAAUAAAUACAGGCUUGGUGAACAGUAGAGAAAAAACAUUAACAAGCUUACUGUUCAAAAACGUAUAGGCAACUUUAAUUUUUCUCUAAUUUCUAGCUUUUAAUUGUCUUAGAAAUAUCCAACAAUAAUGAUAUAUUUUAUAUACUACAAACACUUUUUUUAUCACAUAAAGCAGAAUGGUUUCUAUACCGUAAUAAAUUCCAUGUCACCUGGAGAUUACCUGGAGAUUACUUGAAAAACACAAAUAAACCGUAUAUUGUAGCAAUCAUAUAUUUAAUAUCUUCUUGUUUCAGCACUGCUCUAGGAUUUUCAAUUAACGAGAAAUAUGAGUCAAUGGAUUAUGUGAACGAGAACGAUUCGUUCACCUAAAAGAUUUGUUCAAAAAGAAAAAUUUGUUCACGAAUGAAACAUCACUAUAAACAAGUCUAUUUAAAACUUCAGUAAAUGAACAUUUUUAAACGUCUGACAGUUGAAACUGGGACUAUGACAAACGCAGUUGGACCUGUUGACACUAUUUUGAGUGGGCGAAGGGAUCGUCUGAGGAGCCGCUCAUGCAGAAUACAGUGUCUUGAGACCUGUUUUUAAAGUUAGACUUCUAUUAACAGGAAACAAGGUUUAAAAAAAUGCAGCGCUCACGCUUGAGAUGCAAAAGUCAAAGAAGUCAUCAACGUUUGCUUUCAUGGAAAAGGAACAAUAGCGCAGUGGAACACAUAAAUACCUUCUGUCUGAAACAAGCUGAAGGUUGCGCAAUAUUACAAUAACAUAUUUAUUACCCUACAUAUGCUAUUUUACUACUUUUAAGUUGAAAUGUAUAGUUAUAUGGAAUUAAGAUGAAAGGACUGUUAAUACACAAACGUAAAUUCCAUAUAAUAACAAUUUUAACUGAAAGGUUGAACUGUGUUCACAAGAAAGGUUAUUUUUUUAUAAAUGUCUUUUGGGGCAGGUUGUCAACUGGUGUCAUAUAUACUCAGUAAUUUUAUACAAUUUAUUAAUUUACAAUAUACAAAGGUUUGGUUUAUAUGCAUUACAUUUUGUUUCGCUUCAUGGGUUAUUUUAACUGAUUUACACUAAGCAUUGCUGGGGGAAAGUUUUCCUAGUUCAAAGUUCAAUGUUCAGUGAAAACUAGUAGUUUUGGGCAGAAAAGUUCCUGUUUGAGUGGGAGGCAGGCUAACUGAGAAGUUCAUCACCUUAGUUCCCUCAGCAAAAAAAAGAGAAAAGGGUUUCUCCAAUGGCUUUUGGAUUACUGCAGAAAAUAAGCUCUGUGACCGACAAAGGUUUAUGAUCCUUGCACAUUUUAUCAUAACAACAUCUACAAAUUAACACAAUCUUUAUGAAUAUUGAAGCCUAAAACAGAAUCGCCAACCACCUAUUUCCUGGUUUACUAGGCUACUCAUGCUUGCAGCACCCUGAAGACUAGACUGCAUAGGCUACAUCCACAAUGCGUUGAUCCUUUUCUGAAGACAUAUAGCGCCAUCAAGUGGUCACAAUAAACAUUAACACAACAUGCAAUGGGCCUCAUUUAUUACACACCAGCAUAACGAUUUUUAACGUGGUUUACUAAUGAUUUACAUAGGAAUUUGUCCUACACACCAAGUUGACAUGAGACGUAUGAAAAAUGUUGGUAUUUUACAACCUCCGAUGGUUAAAGAGAUUUACUUUGACAAAACGUCAUGUCUUUAGGUAUUCAUGUAUAAAUGCUGCACCCUGCUGGACCACAAUAGAGCACUGAUUACUUGAAGCUUUUAAUAGGUUUAACCGAAAGGUUAUUUUUCAUACAUGACAAGUUGAUGCAAGUUGUAUACAGUAGACCAAAAACUCCGAAGCUGUUUGCCAAGAUCAACUAUUUUAAAUUACUAAUAAAAUCUGACACCAAGUCUAUCAUACAUUUGAAUCAAACAAAAAUAAUAAAAAAAAAACACAUUGCAAUGACUUUCUACCAUUUACUUUUAUUUAAGUUUAUUUCCUCCUUUCACCUCGUCUCAAAUUGGAAUGAACCCUUGUUGGAU
Long non-coding RNA from Cyprinus carpio carpio, 2369 nucleotides. The record is from Ensembl. Lineage: Eukaryota; Metazoa; Chordata; Actinopteri; Cypriniformes; Cyprinidae.